UACGGGGGGUGCGAGCGUUGUCCGGAUUCACUGGGCGUAAAGGGCGCGUAGGCGGCUGACUCAGUCUGGUCUAUAAGGUGUGGGCUUACCCCGCACACGGAUUGGGGACGGGUUGGCUGGGGGUCGGUCGAGGGAAGCGGAAUGCCGGGUGUAGUGGUGAAAUGCGUAGAGAUCCGGCGGAACACCGGUGGUGAAGGCGGCUUCCUUGGCCGAACCCGACGCUGAGGCGCGAGGGCGCGGGGAGCGAACCGG
Molecule: ribosomal RNA, 252 nt
Filed under: uncultured bacterium
Lineage: Bacteria
Description: partial 16S ribosomal RNA
Rfam family: Bacterial small subunit ribosomal RNA
Source: RNAcentral